This 1369-nucleotide ribosomal RNA is filed under the name uncultured bacterium. Its description in RNAcentral is "bacterial SSU rRNA". It matches the Rfam family "Bacterial small subunit ribosomal RNA", at positions 28 to 1381 of the family's 1533-position model. The record is from RNAcentral.
GACGAACGCUGGCGGCGUGCCUAAUACAUGCAAGUAGAACGCUGAAGAGAGGAGCUUGCUCUUCUUGGAUGAGUUGCGAACGGGUGAGUAACGCGUAGGUAACCUGCCUUGUAGCGGGGGAUAACUAUUGGAAACGAUAGCUAAUACCGCAUAACAAUGGAUGACACAUGUCAUUUAUUUGAAAGGGGCAAUUGCUCCACUACAAGAUGGACCUGCGUUGUAUUAGCUAGUAGGUGAGGUAACGGCUCACCUAGGCGACGAUACAUAGCCGACCUGAGAGGGUGAUCGGCCACACUGGGACUGAGACACGGCCCAGACUCCUACGGGAGGCAGCAGUAGGGAAUCUUCGGCAAUGGGGGCAACCCUGACCGAGCAACGCCGCGUGAGUGAAGAAGGUUUUCGGAUCGUAAAGCUCUGUUGUAAGUCAAGAACGAGUGUGAGAGUGGAAAGUUCACACUGUGACGGUAGCUUACCAGAAAGGGACGGCUAACUACGUGCCAGCAGCCGCGGUAAUACGUAGGUCCCGAGCGUUGUCCGGAUUUAUUGGGCGUAAAGCGAGCGCAGGCGGUUUGAUAAGUCUGAAGUUAAAGGCUGUGGCUCAACCAUAGUUCGCUUUGGAAACUGUCAAACUUGAGUGCAGAAGGGGAGAGUGGAAUUCCAUGUGUAGCGGUGAAAUGCGUAGAUAUAUGGAGGAACACCGGUGGCGAAAGCGGCUCUCUGGUCUGUAACUGACGCUGAGGCUCGAAAGCGUGGGGAGCGAACAGGAUUAGAUACCCUGGUAGUCCACGCCGUAAACGAUGAGUGCUAGGUGUUGGAUCCUUUCCGGGAUUCAGUGCCGCAGCUAACGCAUUAAGCACUCCGCCUGGGGAGUACGACCGCAAGGUUGAAACUCAAAGGAAUUGACGGGGGCCCGCACAAGCGGUGGAGCAUGUGGUUUAAUUCGAAGCAACGCGAAGAACCUUACCAGGUCUUGACAUCCCGAUGCUAUUUCUAGAGAUAGAAAGUUACUUCGGUACAUCGGUGACAGGUGGUGCAUGGUUGUCGUCAGCUCGUGUCGUGAGAUGUUGGGUUAAGUCCCGCAACGAGCGCAACCCCUAUUGUUAGUUGCCAUCAUUCAGUUGGGCACUCUAGCGAGACUGCCGGUAAUAAACCGGAGGAAGGUGGGGAUGACGUCAAAUCAUCAUGCCCCUUAUGACCUGGGCUACACACGUGCUACAAUGGUUGGUACAACGAGUUGCGAGUCGGUGACGGCAAGCUAAUCUCUUAAAGCCAAUCUCAGUUCGGAUUGUAGGCUGCAACUCGCCUACAUGAAGUCGGAAUCGCUAGUAAUCGCGGAUCAGCACGCCGCGGUGAAUACGUUCCCGGACCU